Molecule: non-coding RNA, 976 nt
Filed under: Phalacrocorax harrisi (Galapagos flightless cormorant)
Lineage: Eukaryota; Metazoa; Chordata; Aves; Suliformes; Phalacrocoracidae
Description: Nannopterum harrisi (Galapagos flightless cormorant) 12S ribosomal RNA
Rfam family: Bacterial small subunit ribosomal RNA
Source: RNAcentral
AAAAGACUUAGUCCUAACCCUGCCGUUAAUUCUUGCUAGACAUAUACAUGCAAGUAUCUGCGCCCCAGUGUAAAUGCCCCCAGCCCUUGGUUCCACAGGCAAGGGGAGCAGGUAUCAGGCACGCCCCUCAAAGCAGCCCAAGACACCUAGCCCGGCCACACCCCCACGGGUACUCAGCAGUAAUUAACAUUAAGCAAUGAGUGUAAACUUGACUUAGCCAUAGCAACACCCCAGGGUCGGCAAAUCUUGUGCCAGCCGCCGCGGUCACACAAGAGGCCCAAAUUAACAGAAAUUCGGCGUAAAGAGUGGUUACAUGCUAUCUCUACAACUAGGGCCAAAGUACAGCUAAGCUGUCAUAAGCUCAAGCUGCACCUAAGACCCCCCCUUAAGAUGGCCCUAGCGCACACGAUCCAUUAAGCCCCACCAAAGCUAGGGUCCAAACUGGGAUUAGAUACCCCACUAUGCCUAGCCCUAAAUCUUGGCACUUCCCCUACUAAAGUGCCCGCCCGAGAACUACGAGCACAAACGCUUAAAACUCUAAGGACUUGGCGGUGCCCCAAACCCACCUAGAGGAGCCUGUUCUAUAAUCGAUAACCCACGAUUCACCCGACCGCCCCUUGCCAAAACAGCCUACAUACCGCCGUCGUCAGCCCACCUUCGUGAAAGAACAACAGUGAGCGUAAUAGCCUCGUCCGCUAACAAGACAGGUCAAGGUAUAGCUCAUGGGGCGGAAGAAAUGGGCUACAUUUUCUGAGACAGAAAACUUAACGAAAGGGAACGUGAAACCGUCCCCAAAAGGCGGAUUUAGCAGUAAAGCGGGACAAUAGAGCCCCCUUUAAACCGGCCCUGAGGCACGUACAUACCGCCCGUCACCCUCCUCACAAGCCACAGACGCCCUAUAACUAAUAUGCCCACCGGCCAAAGAUGAGGCAAGUCGUAACAAGGUAAGUGUACCGGAAGGUGCACUUAGCCCACC